AUGACCAGUGGGCUCAUUUCAUGCACUCAUUGGCUGGGUGUGCCUUUCCCUUGUCCCCGAGGGAUUUGCCAGUCCCCUCCGCCCGCGCCCCGUGCUCGACCUCGAGAACAAGAAAAAGGUCAAACCCUAGCCGCCAAACCCUCUCCUCCCCACUCCAUCCUCUCCCACGCCGCCGCACCCUCUCCUCACACGCCUCAGCGCCCUCCCCUGCUCCCUCAGCAGCAGCAGCAGCGUCUCCAUGGACGCGGUGGCAUGACGGCUCCCAGGCACGGAUCCCCUCCUCUGCCUCCAUCCUCCACCUCUCCGGUCGCCCUGUUGCAACGUCCGAAGCAGCAGCAGGCGACCUGCAGCAGCUCCUUCCUACCUUCCAUGGACGAGCUCGAUGGAGACAUCGUCCAGCCUGACCACGGCCAUGACUACCCCACGCACAAGGUCCCUUCCUGCUCCCCCACCUUCUUCCAUGGAUCAAGACGCUACAUACACUCCAUCUGCUCCGUCCACCAACCCGCCCAGAAAGGUAGUUACAGUGAAUUGAUAUUCGCACUGAGGCCGGAGGCGAGAGGCGAGGGCACGGAGGUCGGCGGCAAGUGCUCAAGAGAGAAGAGGAAGGCAGCGGCGCUGGGCGGCUGCGGUUUACACAAGAGCGAGGUGACCUGCCCAGAGAGCAUCCUUUAUAUAAUGGGAUCUUAUGAACUUUUUUUGAAGAUUGCUGAGAAGCGCAAUCUUUUGAUCUUCGAGAACCGCAAGUUUGCUACAUUUAAAACACAUUCAUUAUGCAAGACGAAUGAUGAAUAUUCUACACAUGAGAGCAAUAUACUUGGUAUUAUGGAUGCUCAUAUAAUUCCUGGACCUGGAAUUGUUGAUGGCUUGAGGCUUAAACAAUUGUUUGUAUCUCUUCCCUUUGACACGCGGAGAUUUUUUGGGAGCUGCUUUAUUUAUUCCAUUACUUUUGUUCUCGAUUUUUCUGGAGUCCUAUGCUUCACUCUUUUGCCCCCGAUGGAAACAAUCUAUGUUCAUCUACAAAAACCAAAGGAAGUAGCUUGUCGUUUGGAUAUCCCAAGCAUCGACUGGCGAGACUAUGGUUUGGCAAGCAGAGGUCCACUAGGACUGAGUGACGAACAAGCACAUGAAUGCAUGCAUCUUGUUCAAGCAUGGAUGGAAGAAAUUUCUCCUGAAAACAGGACUUGA
This 1188-nucleotide ribosomal RNA is filed under the name Triticum aestivum (bread wheat). Its description in RNAcentral is "partial small subunit ribosomal RNA". Lineage: Eukaryota; Viridiplantae; Streptophyta; Magnoliopsida; Poales; Poaceae. The record is from RNAcentral.